RNAcentral lists this ribosomal RNA (639 nucleotides) under Bacillus subtilis. RNAcentral describes it as "bacterial SSU rRNA". It matches the Rfam family "Bacterial small subunit ribosomal RNA", at positions 57 to 679 of the family's 1533-position model. RNAcentral also lists the same sequence under 1 other name. Lineage: Bacteria; Bacillati; Bacillota; Bacilli; Caryophanales; Bacillaceae. The record is from RNAcentral.
GCAGUCGAGCGGACAGAUGGGAGCUUGCUCCCUGAUGUUAGCGGCGGACGGGUGAGUAACACGUGGGUAACCUGCCUGUAAGACUGGGAUAACUCCGGGAAACCGGGGCUAAUACCGGAUGGUUGUUUGAACCGCAUGGUUCAAACAUAAAAGGUGGCUUCGGCUACCACUUACAGAUGGACCCGCGGCGCAUUAGCUAGUUGGUGAGGUAACGGCUCACCAAGGCAACGAUGCGUAGCCGACCUGAGAGGGUGAUCGGCCACACUGGGACUGAGACACGGCCCAGACUCCUACGGGAGGCAGCAGUAGGGAAUCUUCCGCAAUGGACGAAAGUCUGACGGAGCAACGCCGCGUGAGUGAUGAAGGUUUUCGGAUCGUAAAGCUCUGUUGUUAGGGAAGAACAAGUACCGUUCGAAUAGGGCGGUACCUUGACGGUACCUAACCAGAAAGCCACGGCUAACUACGUGCCAGCAGCCGCGGUAAUACGUAGGUGGCAAGCGUUGUCCGGAAUUAUUGGGCGUAAAGGGCUCGCAGGCGGUUUCUUAAGUCUGAUGUGAAAGCCCCCGGCUCAACCGGGGAGGGUCAUUGGAAACUGGGGAACUUGAGUGCAGAAGAGGAGAGUGGAAUUCCACGUGUAGC